RNAcentral lists this ribosomal RNA (490 nucleotides) under uncultured bacterium. RNAcentral describes it as "partial 16S ribosomal RNA". It matches the Rfam family "Bacterial small subunit ribosomal RNA", at positions 29 to 507 of the family's 1533-position model. The record is from RNAcentral.
AGUGAACGCUGGCGGUAGGCCUAACACAUGCAAGUCGAACGGCAGCACAGUAAGAGCUUGCUCUUACGGGUGGCGAGUGGCGGACGGGUGAGGAAUACAUCGGAAUCUACUUUUUCGUGGGUGAUAACGUAGGGAAACUUACGCUACUACCGCAUACGACCUACGGGUGAAAGCAGGGGAUCUUCGGACCUUUCGCGAUUGAAUGAGCCGAUGUCGGAUUAGCUAGUUGGCGGGGUAGGCCCACCAAGGCCACGAUCCGUAGCUGGUCUGAGAGGAUGAUCAGCCACACUGGAACUGAGACACGGUCCAGACUCCUAAGGGAGGCAGCAGUGGGGAAUAUUGGACAAUGGGCGCAAGCCUGAUCCAGCCAUACCGCGUGGGUGAAGAAGGCCUUCGGGUUGUAAAGCCCUUUUGUUGGGAAAGAAAAGCAGCAGGUUAAUACCCCGCUGUUCUGACGGUACCCAAAGAAUAAGCACCGGCUAACUUCGUG